RNAcentral lists this non-coding RNA (31 nucleotides) under Mus musculus (house mouse). Lineage: Eukaryota; Metazoa; Chordata; Mammalia; Rodentia; Muridae. The record is from RNAcentral.
UGAGAGCUGAUAAAGUGAGAACCACACCCCA